This 366-nucleotide long non-coding RNA is filed under the name Mytilus galloprovincialis (Mediterranean mussel). Lineage: Eukaryota; Metazoa; Mollusca; Bivalvia; Mytilida; Mytilidae. The record is from RNAcentral.
CCCGGGUUUCCUUAUCGGUUGUCCAUAUUUCUUUGUCCCAUUAGGUUUCUUUUUCGUUUUCUUUUCAUUUUACAAGAAACAAGAGGCUGUCACAUUUAUUUGUGUCCUGGCAAUAUCACAAGAACCAUAACUGAUGAACGGUGAAAGUGAAAAUCGUCAAUAUCAAAUUUGACCUGCAUUUUGUCAUCAGUAUCAACAUAUUAAAAUUUGAAAGAGCUUAGGUUGAAUGGUUCAUGAGUAAAUGCAACAACAUGAAUGGAAACGCCAUUUUUUUAUCUUUCAAGAACCAUAACUCCUGAACGGUAAAAGUCAAAAUCAACAUUAUUUAACUUGACCUCCAUUUUGUCAUCAGUAACAACAUAUGAA